RNAcentral lists this transfer RNA (26 nucleotides) under Mus musculus (house mouse). Its description in RNAcentral is "partial tRNA-Thr". Lineage: Eukaryota; Metazoa; Chordata; Mammalia; Rodentia; Muridae. The record is from RNAcentral.
GUCUUGGUAGUAUAAACAUUACCCUG